ACACGUUUAAAGAGGCUACAGCUGAGUUCGAAAGUUGGCUGAGGAAGUCUGUAUUGAAGAGAUAAGGAACCAGAUGGGUUUGGGGAGCAGUUCCUGGAGUGGCUGGCGGCAGAGAAGUAGCAACUUGAGCUGAAAGGCUGAACUGGGUCCCGAGUGGAAAAUACCAGAAGCGGAUGGUGUUGGCUCCUCCUACCAUCAUUGCACACCCAUGCGAGUCCUUUCUCCAAAUACCGUGGUGGUCUCCAGUAUUUGAGGGCAAUGAAAUCUUGUUCACAGGUGACCAAAGGUAACAGCUGCUGGAGGGUAGGGGACAAGUAGUGACUAUUCCCACACUUAUGGGGCACGGAGAGCCUCUAUGAUCACCCUGUUUUACUACAUUCUCCUUCCUGUGGUUUGCUUUAGUGCCUCAAGGUUCUGUUGAGUCGUGAACUAAGCUGUGUCCUUAUCUUGGUUUCUGACCCUGAGAUGUGGGGUCCCUAGGGACAUAUCUCUGCCCCCUUCUAAUCUGUAUCCUUCACUGCUCCAAGGCCACAGCUCCAGAAACCCCACUUCUGAGCCAUACCAGCUCACACCAGGACCUCACUUCCUAGUUUCCCCAGGGCGCUCUCUCAAGCACUCCUGCUUUGGGACAAAGAGUCAGAGCUUCCUAGAGUCCAGCCAAGCCCAGGACAGCAGAGGCAGGUGGCAGUUGUCCUCCUGCCUCAAACAAAAGCAAUCAAGCCAUCAUCCUGAUUUCUUUUUAAAUCAAUUCCCAUGACAAAUGUGUCUGUGAAAGAGGGCUGGCUGCCUCCGGGCGUUCACCGCUUCAAUGAGGACAACAGAAGGAGCAGGAUUCAUAAAACUAUAAUGUGUUAUUUGAACAGAUUUCCCGGUAACCUGACCCUGUAGUCUUAGAAUCGGCUCAGCCUUCACCAGGUCCAGAUGGAGCCUCUCUGUAGCCUCCUCAGGGGACAGGAGCAGCUCUGUGUGCCUGAUUGACCAGGGGACACUUGUAUGGAGGGGAUCAGAGUGGUUGGGAGCAGCGGACAGGGGUUCUGGGUGCUUCCUCUAGCACUGGGAGACCCGGCUUGUCUGAUCAGGUUUUCUUGCUCAUGUGUUGAGCCUGUGACCGAUCUCCCUCUGUGACAAGAGUAUACACGAUGAACAUAAACCUUAACACACCAUGGGAGCUGUAUGUGAACUGUGCCAGGCUCCUGUGGGAGCACAGUGAGGCAGGCUGGGAGCUGUCACCAGUCUGUCCUAAAGAGAAUCAGAGCCAAAUGAAGCUAGCCACACUUUAGACUUGACCUCCAAUGAGGUCACCAGGCAAACGGCUGGAAUGGUCCAGACAAUGGGAAAUUCCAAGAAGUGUAAGCACCCAAGACCCAAGAGUUAAUGGAAGCCUAGCACUAGGCAGGCGAACCUGAGCUGUGACUGUCAAGACCAGCGGUCACUUUGGGCUCAGGCGGAUAAUGCAUGGGAAUACAAACCCAGGGGGACUGGCCCCUAAUGGCCAUUGUAGACUUUGUCCUUUCAGUGCCCAGCAGCGACCAUGUGCUGGGGCUCUGCUGCCCACACUGGAAGAAGCAAAGAAAGCAGCUGAAAUGCCAAGAACAGUCUGUCUCUACUGAGGCUCACCUUAAGGAGAAGGUAAACGACCAUGGCUGAUCCUGCUGGGAUUCGUCAGAGGGGUGGAAAUAGCCAACACCAGACAGACCCUUCUAGUCUUCCACCCAAUGAACUGAAGACCUGAGGGCCAUUGUGCACUUUACAGCUUGGGCCCAGGGGUUUGUGCAGAGGCUGAGACCCAGUCCUCAGGCUAUGGGAUAUUUCCCUCCCCACUUCCAAAUUAUGCUACUGAAGGUGUGCGCAGGGACAAGUGUCUACACACCAUACUCUGAAUCUCCCCAGGACCCAGACAGAGGAUGUCACUUGAGUUGUAUGAAGGAAGUGGGGCUCAGAGGGACAGGAGACCAGGAGGGAACCCUGUAAAUAGCAAACCAGGAGCUAGGACCCAGAUUAGGUGUCCUUGCCCAUCGAGCAAGCAGCAGCGGGCGUCUCCCAACCUCUUCCAUCAGCACCAAGUCUCUUUCCGUAGAGAGUCCUCAGUGUGAAACCAGGAGUAACCCAGAGCUAUGCAGGUGACCUCAAAUAGCUUCUUCCAGCUUGUCUCAAGGAGGCCUCCAGGGGUGACUCUAGCAGGUUUGGGUCCCGCUGAGCUUCUCUGUGUCACACCUGUCCCAGUCCCCUUCAGAGGAGCUAGGGAAGCUGCUGUUGAUGUCCAGUGACAACUCCAGGCUCCUGGCGGGGCUCAGGGCCAACCUGUCUCCACGAUGAGAGGCUGUGCCCUUUGCUGACUGCUUCAAGAGCAAUCUGUGCUGCUUGGCAGAGGCGAACAGACAAACCUUGACUUCCUCUGCCCUUAACUAGGGUAAGCAUAAAGAGAUAGAACAGGGACUCAACAAUCAGGCUCUGAUAUCGGACCAUCUGGGUUCUAGUCUCGCCUGUGGCUGCAUGACCUUAAGAAAGCUCCCCAGUCUUGGAUUUUCCUUAUUAAAAGCAUAUGAUAAUCAAAGCCAGAUUAUGACUGCUUCAGGGGAUGAAGAGGAUACAACAAUACACUAGGUCUUAGCUCCCAGUAGAAGAAGAUGAUAAACUGUUAUUAGUAUUAGGAUAUUCCCCUCUGAGGCAUCUGUAAAGGGACAGAAGAGUCCACCAUAAUGCAAGCUUCGGUGACCAUAAGUCAGUUGUUAUCUGGCUGGGAAAAGGAGGCGGCUACCCAAGCCCAUCUUGGGUGGAAGGUUACCAAAAAGGCUUCCAGAGAGCCAGGGAGGGCUUAGCCCUCAGGAGGCUCCACCCCGUUACAUCAGGAUAUUAUUGUUGUAAGUUAGAAAUUACUUGACCGUCAGGAUGAGCCAUCUGAAUUGAGAGCUUUAUUUUCCUCACUUUGGUCCGGCUUGACCAUCUCUCUGGGGAAGGCACAUGAGUGACAAGCUAUAAUUAAAGCCUCAGUGUUGUUCUCGAUGGAGAGGAACGAGUCUGUGGUCAAGCACGCAGAUGAGGACCGUCUGCAGGCCCCUUCUCCUUGUUGCUCUGUCUGCUAAAACGGGCGACCCCUCUUCUUAAGACCCUUACUGGCCCGUCUCCAGCCCAUCUGGCAGGUUUUGAGCUCUGGGAAUUCUUUGCACAGAGAGUCCUGGGGGGUGUCUGUCUGGAGACAAUGGGUUUGAGUGACGGUACCCAGGAAGCCCUGCAGUCUAUAGUAGGGAUGGGAUUGCUCUCCCAGGUUAUAUCUCCCUGGUCCCAUCUGUACUAGGUGCCCUGGUGCCCUGCUACAUUACGGCAAGCCUGGGAAUGUGCGAAGGAGGUACUGCUUGGCGGAGGAGAGGUUUCUCCCUACUAGAAGCUAUUGUUAGCUCAUGCCAUCCUACUGGCCUGACGUUGCUGCCCAUGUACCCAGCCUUUUCUAAGGGGAGAGGGUGUUUUCCCCUCUCUGGGGUCUCAUUCUUUCAUUUGAUCAGCAAAUAUUUAUUGAGGACUUGCACUGUGCCUUAGAAACAGAGACAAGCAGGCAGGCUUGCCCCUGGCUCAGAGAGGAGAGUUAGGUACCAAGGGACUGAGAGGACACCUCCAAGUCACACUGAGGACAGCUCCAAGCCACAGGGAAGUCUCAGGCAGUGCAGUCCCCCCUUCCCCCCCCAAGUGUGCUGGGAGAAGGGAGCAAAGCGGCAUCCACUUCCAGGCCAGGGCCCCAAAUUUCCUUCUCCCAGUCUCUAGCCUAUGUCACUGUCCUAGGCCAGUGGGCCACAGUGUUAUGUAUGUGAUCUUUUCCAGACCAUCUGGAUGGCCUUGAUCCUUCUAGCCAUUCCUUAGCAAGUAUACAGGAAGGGACACCGUAAGCUAACUGCUUCCUGCAUACCUGUUUCUUUGUUGUGUAAGAAGAAACUCACAGGCCCUCUUGCCAUCUACAGCAUCCUCAGGAAGCCAGGGUUCUCCACAAGCGGGAUCAGUCGUUUAAUUUCUUAUUUUUUUCUCCUAAACCAGCUUUCUGAUUGAAUCCUUGGACCUGUCGGGUUGGUCCCCAAUCACUCUCUAGAGAGUAACCUCUGAGGUGCGUGUGGGAGCUCAUACCUGCAAACCUCCCCCCCUUCUCCACGCCAGCAAGCUGGGGCAGGCAGCUUGUCAUACGUUUCAGGCCAAUCUGGGUUACAGAGGGAGACUCUGCCUUGAAGCAAAAGCAACAAAGCGAGGAAUGUCUUCAGGCAGUACCCCUCACUUGUCUGUGAUCACUUUUGGUGUGAGGGAGAGUAUGGGGCAUUCGUUGCCUGGCUUUCUCUCUGAGGAACUGGCAGUAACUGGGUCACCUUGCCUGUCAAGAAGCAUCCCUCACUGCGGACCCCACUCUCCCUGGACUCCUGCAAACUUUCCAGGGCUGUUCUAACAAGAUAUCAUCAACAACAUGCCUGGGAAUAGAGAUGAUUUCGGGUGCUGGUUUUGGUUUUACCUUCGCUAAAGUGGAGAGAAGAUUCGCACAUGUGCCUGCCUAUUCCACCAGGCCACUGAACCCCACAGACAAGGGACCAGCGGGGCCACACUCCAUCCGAAAGCUAUCAGGAGACCUCACCUUCAAUAACUCCCAGAGUUCACUGACUCCUUAUUAUAGCAUAGUGAGCUGUGAGGAGAACGCUCUCUCACUUCUGCCGGUGUCUGGGGGCUUACUGGCCACCCGUGGUAUGCUUCCAUGUUUCUCACUUGUAGAAGUGGCAUUUCAGAUUGUUGUCAUUGUCAUGUACUGUUCUGCUGGCCUCUGUCCAUCUCAAUGUCUAUUCUGAGGACACCAGUCACACGGAUACAGAUCUGCCCGCUCCAGCAUGAAUGACCUCAUCAGAAACACAGUGGCAACAACUUUAUCUCCAAAUAAAGUCAUGUCACGAGACACUGGGGUGAGGGUUUGAAAAGAUCACCUUGGGGGACACAUUUCAAACCUGAUCUACAGUUGCUGAAAACCCCUGUCCCCUCAAAGGCUAUAGCAAUGGCUAGUGUCAACACUGCCAGCCAAUUGCAAGAUGCCACAGGGAAGGGUUGUGUUGGCAUCAUUGUCCUUUGAUCUGAGAGCCGAAACAAAAUGCAGUACACGUUCAGUAAAUGCUUCUUGACGCUGUUGGUGACAGUGUCUUGCUUGUCCUGGCUCAGUCUCAAGAUCUAGCCACAAAGCUGCUCCUCAGCACACGGUCUACCCAGGGCCAGUUUCUCAGGGUCCUUGUGGUCUGGUCUUCAGUUGAACCCUGACAUCACCGACUCCUUCAUCAUCAGUCCUGGGAGAGGUCAGCCCCCCGACCCUCAAUGAGACCCUUACUUUCAGUGUGACAGCUAUUUUACCCGGCAGUAGGCAAACAGAGAUAUUUUAAGAUGAGUGUGUCAGCUGGGGUCAGUUUCCGCUUGGCUAUCGCUGGUGCUGUCAGGAGGAGAGCGGGUUUGGCUGUCCGGAGGGAACCCAUCAAUCACUCCUGACAGCCCUUAAUCAGACAAAGGAGCCCUCACCACCGUGUUACAGAGAGGGAGAGACUAUAGUAUUGUUCAAGCUCAACAAAGAAUUUUGGACAGGAAUUUUAAGUUGUAAAUACAAUCUCUCUGUCUUCCAAGCAUUUAGAUCCCUAAAGCCUCAGGUCCUCUCAGGUCUGAGGACCUUCUACUCUUUAUUCUAGGAAACUGGCCUCUUUAUUCAAAGACAGACAGACAGAUGCACGCACGCACACACACACACACACACACACACACACACACACACAACAUUCACUGGUCUCCUCUGAUAUACUAGGUGCUUUGGGCAGUGUAUCAAGAAGCCUGUGGUCUUGGGCCAGCAAGAUGGCUAAGUGGGUAAAGGUGCUUGCCACCAAGUCCAACAACUUAAGUUCAAUUCCCAGCUUACACACGAGGAAUGAAAGUUGUCCUCUGACCAUAACACUGAAUCACUGAUGCUGUGGUACAUGCGUACACAUUCAUCUCUCUCUCUCUCUCUCUCUCUCUCUCUCUCUAACACACACACACACACACACACACACACACACACACACAGUGAAUAAUAUAAAUAAAAUUAGGAAAAACACCCAUUAAAAGGAGGCCUAUGGUUCUUAAUGGAAGCAAAAGGCUCAUGAACAAAAAGGCCCCAAGCUACAUGAGCAGCCCUGGCGCUAAGGUAGCUCAGCGUGUUGGGGAAACCCAGAGGGGUCUCAGCCAAACCCACUUGUUUGCACCUUCGUCUGACUGCUUUUAUUCUUGCAGGCCCGGGACAGUGGCAGGCGGCAUGAGACACUGCAUGGCUUGGGGGAACAAAUCUUUUGUUGCAUUAACGCUUUUCAUCCUCCACCUUGAACGAGGCAGAUGCUCCCUGCAGAGCUGUCGACUGAAUAAAGAAAUGAGUUUAAUGAUCA
This 6410-nucleotide small RNA is filed under the name Rattus norvegicus (Norway rat). Its description in RNAcentral is "uncharacterized LOC102557529". The record is from RNAcentral. Lineage: Eukaryota; Metazoa; Chordata; Mammalia; Rodentia; Muridae.